Molecule: RNA transcript, 2782 nt
Organism: Sorghum bicolor (sorghum)
Lineage: Eukaryota; Viridiplantae; Streptophyta; Magnoliopsida; Poales; Poaceae
Gene name: F-box/FBD/LRR-repeat protein At2g04230
Exons: 5
Source: RefSeq, a predicted model, not a curated record
AAAAAAGCCCAACUGGAAGUUACGGUGGCCUCAAUCGACCUUCUCCAAGACUCCAACCUCGCCGAUCAUCAAUCGAUCCCACUCCAAUGGCUGCAGAUCAACGCCGCUCCCGCCGCUCCGGCGGCGAGGACCGCAUCAGCGGCCUCCCCGACGAGCUGCUGCACGACAUCCUGGUCCGCCUCCGCUGCGCCCGCGCCGCGGCGCGCACCAGCGUGCUCUCCCGCCGCUGGCGCCACGUCUGGGCGCACCUGCCCGAGCUUCGCCUCGACCAGCGGCGGCGACCGACGGCAUCGGGCUUGUUAUUCCUGGACACCAUCGACGCUGCCCUCGCCGGCUACUCAGCCCCAACCCUCGAGCGCCUCAGCAUCUCCAUCCCCUCCAACAGUAACGCGCCCUCAUCAGUAGUUGGGCCGGGGGCGCGCAUUGCGCCGUGGCUCCACUUCGCAGCGGCGCGCGUGGUGGGCGAGCUCAAUCUCUUCCUCCGCGCGCCUCAGACCUUCGUCGUCGCGACACCGGAGGUCGUCGGGGAGGAGGCCGUGCUCGAGCUUCCGGUAUGUGAACAAACGAAACGAAUCGAGCUCUUUCUACAAUAUGCAGACACACACUGGCUCCGGCCGCAGGCAUCCGGCUCCGGCCUGUUCACGGCGCUGACGUUCCUGAAGGUAGAUGGCCAUGUCCGCAUGACAGGAAGCGAUCUCACAGCCCUUGUGAGCACGCAGUGCCCGUGCUUGAGGGAGCUCGAUCUUUUCAUUACGCUGAUUGUCAACUUCCAUGUCUUGAUUCACUCCAACUCGUUGCACACGCUGGUGCUCCGCGUCUUGGAGACACGGCGUCUAGAGGUUGUGGCCCCAAGGCUUGAAGAGCUCACUGUAUUUGCUCGGCCAUUGGAGGCUCACAUCUCUGCUACCAAGCUUGUCAAGGUAGCUUGGCAUGGUGUCUAUGACCCUCAUCUGCAUAGGUUUGUUGAUGUUGGCUCUACCCUCCGGCUACUGAAAACUUCCUCUCAGGCAUUGUCGCUGACUAAGCGGUUCGAUGAAGUUGAUGAGUUGGAUCAUCUGAGCAUCGAUCUAAAAUGGCAAGAUGUAGCAAGAUAUGAAAGCUUCUUGAAUGAAACAAAUAAGCUGCUCAAGUGUAAGAGCCUUUGCAUAUCCUUGUUGUGGGAACAUGCCUUGGUGCCUGUCAUGUGGCAUCUCUUGAGGAGUUGCAAUGGUACAAAGAGGCUUCGAGUACAUUUGUGGGGUCCUUGGUCCCAACGAGUGAUGCAUUCUUGCCUGCCGGCUUGCCCUUAUCGUUUGGAAGAGAGUCUCAAGAUUGAUGUCAUUGAUCUCAGUUCACUUGAAGAGGUAGAAAUCUCAGGUUUUUCAGGUUCUCAUGAACAAAUGGAACUUGUGGAGUUCCUAUCCAGCAAUGCCAGAAUCCUGAAAAGGUUGCGCAUCAAUUAUCACAAUUGCCGUAGGCCCAAGGAAGCACGUGAGAAGAGACUUCUCCAAGAUCCCUAAAACUGCUGAAGGAGUUCUAGGCCUGUCAAUCUAUGAUUUUGGCUUUGAGAGGGAGGUUCUUGAUGAUGGGAAAGGAAAGGUUUUGAAAAGUGGUAUUAGGAUUGGUGAAGAUCAGCCACCUAACAAGAAAUUCAGAAAUGAGAGUGGUCAAGAUUGUUCACUCAUGAACAGGAAAGUUGGGGACAAUGAUGGUCCUGAUUCCAGACAAAUGCAGAAUUUUGGAAAGCAAGUGAUGGCCUCGGCCCCAUCCAAGCUGCAGUCUACAUCAGUAAUUGACAGUGGUGCCAAGGUGAUGAAAGAUGCUCAAAAAGGUUUGUCAGGUCAGAAUAUAUUGGGGGGGAAUGACAAAGUUUAUAUACCUGAAGGCAUAGAGGAUUCUGAUUCUGAGAGUGACUCUUUUGGGGAAAGACUUAGGAAACUAAAUGAGGAGGGACAAUCUUCUAAACAAUCAAAGAAUCAAGAACAUCUUUGGUUCAUGGAAGUGAAUGAGAACAAGGCUGCCUUAUGUGAGGAAUCAGUAGCUGAUCCAGUGGAAUGCAUGACUGUGACAACUCCUAAAAGUGUUGAAGCUCUAAAGAAUAUCAAUGUUGACAAAGUCUCAGUUUCACCUGAGAUUUUUAUCACUGAUGAUAAUAUUGUCAACACACAAGAGAGUUUGGCUUUACUUGAAGAAAAUCCUAUGGAGAUGGAGAUGCUUCCAGAUGAUCAAAAGUCCUUGGAGGGGGACAAGAAGGUGGUGGAAAAAACACAAGCUGUCCAUCCCAUUGCCAGGAGGAGGAGUGAGAGUCUGGCUAAAGAAAUUACUAUCUUCACCAAGGAGAAGACUGAGAUGAUGGCCAAGAAGAGAAAUCUGGAAGGUUUACAGAGUGAUGUGGACAAGGAAGCAUUGAUCGGUGGAGUGGAGACUAUGUUCAAGAUUGCUGUGCAGAUUCUAGCCAAGAAACGCCGCUGAGACAAUCAGACAGGCGCAGUGAAGGACGCGAUCAACGAAGAUGAAGCUAGCCAGGAGUUAGAUAGCUGAAGGCGAUCUGAAGAACAUCCAUGUGUGUCUGGAUUCUUUUGUUUUGGCUGCUGCUAUGUCCUUGGCGUCCGAUAUGAUGGCAUACGUUCUUAGGCUGGUUUCGCUCUUUUAUUUCUCUUUUCUGUACUGAACUGUGUGGCUUGGCUGUCUGUUCAAACUCUGGAAACAAUUGUAUUUCCGUUAUCAAGUAAUGGAAAUGGGUUAACCCCUAGUUCGAAAAAAAUAACAAUAAAAAAAUUUAUAUAGACAAAUAAAAGACAAG